GGCAAUCAAACAGAAAACCGAUCAGCGAACAUGUUCUAACUGCGUUGCUGCCAAAAUGCCUCUCGCUCUCUGCCACUGCUUCAGUGUCAGCAUCAGCAUCAGCAUCCACAUCCACUUCCUACUUCAACUAGCAAAAGUUGCGCUCAGCUGUGCAAAAGAUUCAAAGACGGCGACAGCAAGUUUUCAAAGCUCAAUUGCUGCGGCGGCACAAAAUUGCAGAGAAAUUCCUUUGGCUUAAUUAGCCUCUUUCGUUCGGGGCGAAAAUAUUUUCAACUCAGCGACGUCGCAACGCAAGAAAGCGGCACAACAACAGCAAUAGCAACAGCAACUGCUAGCAGUAACAACGGGCAUCGGGCAUCGGGAGCGGCAAAAGCAGGAGGGUAAAAACAACUCAGAGCUGAGCUCAGUGCGGCUCAGCGCAGCAGCGCACAAAUGAAACCAUUUUAUUUUGUGUGUGUGUGUGUGCUCUGGCUCUGGCUCCGCUCUGCCGCAGUCGUUGCUGCCAAAGCCGCCGCUCUCAGCCCGUUGCCUCUUCUCGACCAACGUCAUCGUCAUAAUCAGAGUUUUAACAUUUUAUGUACAGUGCGCUACAGUAAGCACUCGCUUAAAGCAAAUGGAAUUUAUACCAAAUACUAGUAUGUUAUGAAGCAACAUUGACAGCGAGUGCUCACUGUAUGUAUACAGUCUUUACACACACUUGUACAUACACAUAGAGAGCCGGAGCUCGUUUCGUUCGGUCGUACAUUCGUUCGUUCGCUCGUUCGUUUGUUCGUUCGCUCGUUCGCUCUGCUGCCUCUCCCACAAUCGCAACGAUUUUGACUCACACUGCUGACUCUGUUAUAUACACAUAACCUACAAAAAUAUAUAGCUACGACUCUGGCUCUGGUGCGAGUGCCGAGUAAAUGCGAUACGAUAUUUGUGCGGCGCAUCGUGUGCGCUGUCAGGCGGUUUGCGAUGGCGAUGGUGAGGGCGAUUUCGGUGACUGCGACGGGGCAGGGAUGGCAGGCAGGCUGGCUGGCAGACAGGCGGCAUAACAUCAGCAGUGCCAGCAGCAACAACAACAGAAAUACAACUUACACAGGGUUGCCAGGCACUCAAAAUGCCAACGGCAUUGAACUCUCAUUGCGACUGCAGAUACCUUUGUAUCUUAGAGAUAUGAUGAUUGUAUGUGGAAAUUGGAGAAAGCGUUUACAAAAAAUGUUAUAUAUUAUUGAU
Molecule: long non-coding RNA, 1215 nt
Organism: Drosophila innubila
Lineage: Eukaryota; Metazoa; Arthropoda; Insecta; Diptera; Drosophilidae
Exons: 2
Source: RefSeq, a predicted model, not a curated record